GUGCAUUCUCAAGAGCACAGUGGCCUCCUUAAUUAUUAAAGGUAAGAAGUUUGGAACAACCAAACUCUUCUUAGAGCGGCCACAUGGCCAAACUGAGCAGUCAGGAGAGAGGGCCUUGGUAAGAGAAGUGACCAAGAGCCUGAUGGUCACUCUAAGUUAACUCAAGAGAUCAUGUGUAAAGAUGGGCAAAACUUAUGGACGGUCAACCAUCACAAUUACACUUGGCUGAUCUAGCUAUGGCAGACUGGGCAGACGGAAUCUACCUCACUGCAAGACA
Molecule: non-coding RNA, 277 nt
Organism: Pelobates cultripes (western spadefoot toad)
Lineage: Eukaryota; Metazoa; Chordata; Amphibia; Anura; Pelobatidae
Source: the annotation of a GenBank genome assembly